UGGCGGACGGGUGAGUAACGCGUGGGUAACCUGCCUUGUACUGGGGGACAACAGUUAGAAAUGACUGCUAAUACCGCAUAAGACCACGGUACCGCAUGGUACAGUGGUAAAAACUCCGGUGGUAUGAGAUGGACCCGCGUCUGAUUAGGUAGUUGGUGGGGUAACGGCCUACCAAGCCGACGAUCAGUAGCCGACCUGAGAGGGUGACCGGCCACAUUGGGACUGAGACACGGCCCAG
RNAcentral lists this ribosomal RNA (238 nucleotides) under uncultured bacterium. RNAcentral describes it as "partial 16S ribosomal RNA". It matches the Rfam family "Bacterial small subunit ribosomal RNA", at positions 96 to 334 of the family's 1533-position model. The record is from RNAcentral.